Molecule: ribosomal RNA, 1474 nt
Filed under: metagenome
Description: bacterial SSU rRNA
Rfam family: Bacterial small subunit ribosomal RNA
Source: RNAcentral
AGAGUUUGAUCAAGGCUCAGGACGAACGCUGGCGGCGUGCCUAACACAUGCAAGUCGAACGGGGUGAGGCCCUUCGGGACCUUUACCUAGUGGCGAACGGGUGAGUAACGCGUGAGGAACCUGCCUUUCAGUGGGGGACAACAGUUGGAAACGACUGCUAAUACCGCAUGAAGCUUUUGGGAGACAUCUCCUGGAAGCCAAAGCUUAAUGUGCUGAAAGAUGGCCUCGCGUCUGAUUAGCUAGUUGGUGGGGUAACGGCCCACCAAGGCGACGAUCAGUAGCCGGUCUGAGAGGAUGAACGGCCACAUUGGGACUGAGAUACGGCCCAGACUCCUACGGGAGGCAGCAGUGGGGAAUAUUGGGCAAUGGGCGAAAGCCUGACCCAGCAACGCCGCGUGAAGGAAGAAGGCCUUCGGGUUGUAAACUUCUUUUACCAGGGACGAAGGACGUGACGGUACCUGGAGAAAAAGCAAUGGCUAACUACGUGCCAGCAGCCGCGGUAAUACGUAGGUUGCAAGCGUUGUCCGGAUUUACUGGGUGUAAAGGGCGUGUAGGCGGAGAUGCAAGUUAGGAGUGAAAUCUAUGGGCUCAACCCAUAAACUGCUUCUAAAACUGUAUCCCUUGAGUAUCGGAGAGGCAAGCGGAAUUCCUAGUGUAGCGGUGAAAUGCGUAGAUAUUAGGAGGAACACCAGUGGCGAAGGCGGCUUGCUGGACGACAACUGACGCUGAGGCGCGAAAGCGUGGGGAGCAAACAGGAUUAGAUACCCUGGUAGUCCACGCUGUAAACGAUGAAUACUAGGUGUGGGGGGACUGACCCCCUCCGUGCCGCAGUUAACACAAUAAGUAUUCCACCUGGGGAGUACGACCGCAAGGUUGAAACUCAAAGGAAUUGACGGGGGCCCGCACAAGCAGUGGAUUAUGUGGUUUAAUUCGACGCAACGCGAAGAACCUUACCAGGACUUGACAUCCAACUAACGAAGUAGAGAUACAUCAGGUGCCCUUCGGGGAAAGUUGAGACAGGUGGUGCAUGGUUGUCGUCAGCUCGUGUCGUGAGAUGUUGGGUUAAGUCCCGCAACGAGCGCAACCCCUAUUGUUAGUUGCUACGAAAGAGCACUCUAGCGAGACUGCCGUUGACAAAACGGAGGAAGGCGGGGACGACGUCAAAUCAUCAUGCCCCUUAUGUCCUGGGCUACACACGUAAUACAAUGGUGGCCGACAGAGGGAAGCGAAGCCGUGAGGCGGAGCAAAUCCCUAAAAGCCAUCUCAGUUCGGAUUGCAGGCUGCAACUCGCCUGCAUGAAGCUGGAAUUGCUAGUAAUCGCGGAUCAGCAUGCCGCGGUGAAUACGUUCCCGGGCCCUGUACACACCGCCCGUCACACCAUGAGAGUCGGGAACACCCGAAGUCCGUAGUCUAACCGCAAGGGGGGCGCGGCCGAAGGUGGGUCCGGUAAUUGGGGUGAAGUCGUAACAAGGUA